AUCAAACUUGAGAGUUUGAUCCUGGCUCAGAACGAACGCUGGCGGCAUGCCUAAUACAUGCA
Molecule: ribosomal RNA, 62 nt
Filed under: Sphingobium sp. 66-54
Lineage: Bacteria; Pseudomonadati; Pseudomonadota; Alphaproteobacteria; Sphingomonadales; Sphingobiaceae
Description: partial 16S ribosomal RNA
Source: RNAcentral